Long non-coding RNA from Esox lucius (northern pike), 783 nucleotides. The record is from Ensembl. NCBI's taxonomy places the organism in Eukaryota, Metazoa, Chordata, Actinopteri, Esociformes, Esocidae.
CUUACCUAAGAAGCGUUGAUGGAUAAGUCUGAUCUCGAUAUAUCCUUUAUUCUGUGUUGUAUUAAGAUAACGAGAAGAGCGGGACUGUUCUAUUUAUACUUAACAUAUCGAAAGUGUCUUAGGCGACGUCUGAAGCGUACAUUUAAAAGACGUUUUCUUAAUUGUGAGAAUGAUUGCAAAUAUGCAACUUCCACUUAUAACCAUCCUGCUUUUCAAGUCAUGUUUGUGUCUUCAAAUUGACACGGUCAUUCAGUUUCUGCGUUCGGGAGUGUUCGGCAAGGUGGAGACUGUCGAGCAGGUUUUGGUCAACGGAGCCCCUCUCUCCAGCUGCGGGAAAGACGUCAGCAGCAUUCUCAAUGCUGUAUUGCUGAUCAACUACAACGAAUCUUUUCAAACGAUAGAAGAAAGUGGCAACAACACAAUGAAAAUAAGUCAUACUUACAUGCGUGUACGAGAGUGCAAACUGGAUAGCUUUGGAGUGUUGCUUUUGACAGACCGUCUUCUAGUUGAUGGGAAUAACUUCCUUACUCUGGACCGAGCCACGGACACUUGGACAGCAGAGGGACCACAGGCUCUCCCUCUGAAACAUCUAUGGGACCGGGAGAGCACACGCACAAGGCGGGAAAUUAUGCAACUCCAUGAAAGCUGUACCAAACUACUGGAGGAGAUCACAUGUUCUGAGCCCGGCGCUACUGGAGAAUCCUUUGCAGGCAAUGACUGCUUGAAAUCUGGAGCGCAUGGACAUCACCAAACCCUGGGUUUCCAUUUUUGUGAUGCUUUGCC